This is a long non-coding RNA of Phymastichus coffea, 531 nucleotides long. RefSeq lists it as uncharacterized. The record is from RefSeq and is a predicted model, not a curated record. The transcript is spliced from 3 exons. Lineage: Eukaryota; Metazoa; Arthropoda; Insecta; Hymenoptera; Eulophidae.
UCUGACGUCCCUUUAGGAGUUUGCUCUCGUGAGGCGGCGGCUAUGUCUGGGUGCAACGAUCGCGCCUCGUCUAUCGGAAUUGCUAUCGCGGUACAUAGCUGCCGAGAAGUAGCAGCGGCAGCAGCAUCAGCCACGGCGGCGGCGCGACGCUACGACAAGGAGUUAUGAUAUCGGCGCCGAUCGCCGCGCCAAGUGAAAACACGCUGGCGCUUCUUGACGAAGCUGCGCUACGCCGAGGAGAGCGAAAGCGCAUAUGUGAAGGAAGGAGCUUCCGCAGGAGAAACAAGACGAGGAGAGGUAAGUUGUGCGGCAAAAAGUCUGAUGAAUCAACGAGGGGAAGAGGAUGACAAAAGAGGACUCGGAGGAUUGAUUAUGAGCAUUAACAGUUAAUAAAUGAAAAUACAAACGUACACAUUUUUUUAAACGAGUUCGCAAUUCCUCGCAGCGCCGAUUUGUGCGAUAGAAAAUCUCUAGCGCUAUCAAAAGAAUAAUCCGCGCGGCAUUUGCAACGAACCAUUAGACUGACUCGCC